UUGCAGAAGAAGAAGAAGC
This 19-nucleotide small RNA is filed under the name Arabidopsis thaliana (thale cress). RNAcentral describes it as "ATSL303040". Lineage: Eukaryota; Viridiplantae; Streptophyta; Magnoliopsida; Brassicales; Brassicaceae. The record is from RNAcentral.